CCUCUCCAAUAAUACAUACAACGGCUGCACUAGCUGACCAACUUGAUCCUCGGGAGGAACAUUUUGCUCAUGUUAUGGCAUCUCUGCAUCAUCCCCCAUGCCAUUUGCAUGUUGAUUUCCUUGCAUCUGCGGAAUACCCUGCAUAGCCUGUGCCACGGCCUGCGUAACUGCCUCAUUCACCAUUGCUGCUACCAUAACCGGGGUUAUUGUUGCAUUACCCUAGGCCCCAUCAUUUCCACCCUGGUUAACAGCCUCAACCUGGGAUUGCCUCUGACCCCUCCUACCGUUAUUACCCUGCCUCCCAGCAAUUCUCGAAGACUUACGAGCCAUCUAUGAUACAAAUCAACAAAUAAGAACAAACAAAUCAAAACAAAUAAUCGAAGCCAAAAUUAUUCAGAACGAAGAUCAAAAGCAACACAACACUAUAAUAAAAUCUUAUAACUACCCAGUGAUCUACCCAUAACUCACAGGUCAAGCCUAAAAGGCAAUCUACAAGAUCAUAACCUAAGCUCUGAUACCAACUCUGUAAACCUCAAAUAAAUCUCAAAAUAUCUCCAAAUAAAUUGAACACCAAUUGUCACAUACUCCAAUUUAACUAGAAGGAACUCCACAUUUAUAUAGUCUCUACAAUUAAGAAAUAAUGCCAAAAUGGCCCAAACAUCCAUAUACAAAAUAUUAAGAAAACCAUGUCUAAUAAUAAUCUCAAAAGCUAAUCUACUCAUUUGGAUCAAAGGUAGCUCUCAUCUCACAAAUCCUGAUCACCCCUGAUUACCUGCCGGAAAAAGAACACAGCGUGAGCCAAUUGCCCAGUACGGAUAUGAAGAUGAAUAAAUAUAUCACAAUAAAUAACGAAUCUAAAAGAGUUGAAUGAAUGAACACAUGUGAAUUACAAACGAAUUACGAAUAUAUCACAAUUUGUGAGUCCAUUUACAAAUGUCCAACACUGUCAAUCGAAUAAUUAUAGCCAAAAGAAUCCCAAACAAAUAAGGCUGAAUCAAAUGGUUAUACGGUAAAAAUUUCAUACUGAGCUCAAAUACAAAUAGCCAAAGGCUAACAAAAUACAUCGGUACCAUGAUGUAUACAAAUCAAAUCGGAUAGUACGCACGACACAUAUGUCACUAAUCCACCAAAUAAAUCGAAUCAAAUCAAAUACUGGGUUGACCCAUACGUAUCCUGAACAAAUAUAUCAAAUGGCCAAAGCUCAUACCCACAGCAUAAAAAAGGAUACGCCGUGGACUAAUCACACCGUCACGGAAGGUGUCAUGCCUUUGUGUCAAGAGGACAUGCCUGUGGUACCCCCACAGGUGGUUAGCUCAAGUAUACCCUAAGAAUCAAACUACAAAAUGUAAGCCAAAAAGGGGGGUUCAAAUCACAAGGCUUACAUGACCAUAUUCAAAUGAAAUUGAAUUAUCAAAAACGAACAUACUCAAUAUCACAGGAUAUCAACGAUCAAAACAACUCCUGAAUGUGAACAAAAUUAUACGAAGAAGGAUACAAACGAAUAAAGUCUCCAAAAUACGAAUUUUAAUGUCAACGCCAAAAUAAAACUAUCACAAUAAUUUAGACAUCAAGGAAUAAUCCUGAGAAGCAGUACCAAAUCUCUAAACAAAUAUCAAAACGAACGAAUUAAAUUUAUAAGAGUAUCGCUGAAAAAGUACGGAAUCCGUACCUUAAUAUAGUAUCAAAAUAAUUCGCCGAAUCUAAAUAUCGCCCCCUAAACUCCCUCAAUCCGAUCUUUAAUUUACACCCACAACCCAAUAAAAGAAGAAGGACACUUACUUUAGUUCUUCCCUUCUGAUCAAUCUCCCUUGCCGCCGCCUCCUUCCCUUUUCAGUUCUAUACCCACGAUUUAUUUCAUCAGACUUAAUAAGGUAUAGCUAGGUUUUAAUGAUAUAAUUAUUAAUUAACAUGUUUUAUUAAUUCUUUUAAUUUUAUUAAGAUUUAAAAUGACACAAAUAUAAAUUAGACCCAAUUAAUUAUAAUGGCCCAAAUAAAUUAACUACAGUUUGACCCAAAUAUAAGAAAAGUCCAAUUAAAUAUUUUAAAGCUUACUUGAAUAUUUUAUUAUUAUUUUAUUGGGUAUUACACUCAUACUGCUGGUUGUAGACAUCAUCAGGCCAGAAUGCCAAAACACUAUCCGGUGGAGUAGGUUCAGAUUUUGGCUGAGAAAUAUCCUGCAAUGGGAAUGGAAAGCAUACAAAGGAACAAUAAACAAAUAGAUAAUUCAAUUUGAAAAAAAAAAGGAGUAAUGAAACGAAAUUAGAAAAGAAAACCUUCUGACCCGUCUUCUCAGACUUGCAUAUUUACAAAAUCUUUACAAUUGAUUUGCACAAAUCUUUUUAGGGACAACUGAAUACUUGUAUUUGGAGGGAAAAUACGGGGGAGGCGCGACUGAUUUGGAGAGAAAUUAGAGGGGAGGCGACUGGGAGGGGAGGCGCAAGUGAGGGGAAGCGCAGCUAAGAGGAGGCGCCGCUGAGAGAGUGAGAGGAGUGACGAUUGAAGGAGAUGGGGUCGUGAUUGAGGGAGAUAGGGCACGAAAGAAUGAAUUAUCUAAUCUGAGGGAGUGAAAAUUGAGGGAGAGGGCGGGAGUGAAAAU
This 2596-nucleotide long non-coding RNA is filed under the name Panax ginseng (ginseng). RNAcentral describes it as "long non-coding RNA (PGIN_LNC005011)". The record is from RNAcentral. Lineage: Eukaryota; Viridiplantae; Streptophyta; Magnoliopsida; Apiales; Araliaceae.